Molecule: ribosomal RNA, 745 nt
Filed under: uncultured Anaerococcus sp.
Lineage: Bacteria; Bacillati; Bacillota; Tissierellia; Tissierellales; Peptoniphilaceae
Description: bacterial SSU rRNA
Rfam family: Bacterial small subunit ribosomal RNA
Source: RNAcentral
GAUAAACGCUGGCGGCGUGCAUAACACAUGCAAGUCGAACGAUGAAACUCAGCUGAUUUCUUCGGAAUGAAAUUGAGCGGAUUAGUGGCGAACGGGUGAGUAACACGUGAGUAACCUGCCUUACACAAGGGGAUAGCCUUUGGAAACGAAGAAUAAUACCCUAUAAAGUCAAAAUAUCGCAUGAUAAAGUGACCAAAGAUUUAUCGGUGUAAGAUGGACUUGCGUCUGAUUAGCUAGUUGGUGAGAUAAAAGCCCACCAAGGCGACGAUCAGUAGCCGGCUUGAGAGAGUGUACGGCCACAUUGGGACUGAGACACGGCCCAAACUCCUACGGGAGGCAGCAGUGGGGAAUUUUGCACAAUGGGGGAAACCCUGAUGCAGCGACGCCGCGUGAUUUAGAAGGCCUUCGGGUUGUAAAAAUCUUUUUUAUGGGAUGAAAAUGACAGUACCAUAAGAAUAAGGUCCGGCUAAAUACGUGCCAGCAGCCGCGGUAAUACGUAUGGACCGAGCGUUGUCCGGAAUCAUUGGGCGUAAAGGGUACGUAGGCGGCCUAGUAAGUUAGAAGUGAAAUAAUAUAGCUCAACUAUAUAAAGCUUUUAAAACUGUUAGGCUUGAGAGAUGAAAGGGAAAGUGGAAUUCCUAGUGUAGCGGUGAAAUGCGCAGAUAUUAGGAAGAAUACCGGUGGCGAAGGCGACUUUCUGGUCAUCAUCUGACGCUGAGGUACGAAAGCGUGGGUAGCAAACAGG